This 700-nucleotide ribosomal RNA is filed under the name uncultured bacterium. RNAcentral's name for it is "bacterial SSU rRNA". It matches the Rfam family "Bacterial small subunit ribosomal RNA", at positions 94 to 790 of the family's 1533-position model. The record is from RNAcentral.
AGUGGCGAACGGGUGAGUAAUAUAUCGGAACGUAUCCAAUAAUGGGGGAUAACUAGUCGAAAGAUUAGCUAAUACCGCAUACGCCCUGAGGGGGAAAGCUGGGGAUCUUCGGACCUAGCGUUAAUGGAGCGGCCGAUAUCUGAUUAGCUAGUAGGUGAGGUAAAGGCUCACCUAGGCGACGAUCAGUAGCUGGUCUGAGAGGACGACCAGCCACACUGGAACUGAGACACGGUCCAGACUCCUACGGGAGGCAGCAGUGGAGAAUUUUGGACAAUGGGGGCAACCCUGAUCCAGCCAUUCCGCGUGAGUGAAGAAGGCCUUCGGGUUGUAAAGCUCUUUCGCAAGGGAAGAAAACUUAGUCUCUAACAUAGACUGAGGUUGACGGUACCUUGAUAAGAAGCACCGGCUAACUACGUGCCAGCAGCCGCGGUAAUACGUAGGGUGCGAGCGUUAAUCGGAAUUACUGGGCGUAAAGCGUGCGCAGGCGGCCUGAUAAGUCAGAUGUGAAAUCCCCGAGCUCAACUUGGGAACUGCGUUUGAAACUAUCAAGCUAGAAUAUGUCAGAGGGGGGUAGAAUUCCACGUGUAGCAGUGAAAUGCGUAGAGAUGUGGAGGAAUACCAAUGGCGAAGGCAGCCCCCUGGGAUAAUAUUGACGCUCAUGCACGAAAGCGUGGGGAGCAAACAGGAUUAGAUACCCUGG